Molecule: ribosomal RNA, 297 nt
Filed under: uncultured bacterium
Lineage: Bacteria
Description: partial 16S ribosomal RNA
Rfam family: Bacterial small subunit ribosomal RNA
Source: RNAcentral
GGGGACCUACGGGAGGCAGCAGUGGGGAAUAUUGCACAAUGGGGGAAACCCUGAUGCAGCGACGCCGCGUGAGUGAAGAAGUAUUUCGGUACGUAAAGCUCUAUCAGCAGGGAAGAAAAUGACGGUACCUGACUAAGAAGCCCCGGCUAACUACGUGCCAGCAGCCGCGGUAAUACGUAGGGGGCAAGCGUUAUCCGGAUUUGCUGGGUGUAAAGGGAGUGUAGGUGGCAUGGUAAGCCAGAAGUGAAAACCCGGGGCUCAACCCCGCGGAUUGCUUUUGGAAGUAUCAGGCUGGAG